AGGCGUGAGGACGACCGGGCUGCGACAUCUGUCACCCCAUUGGUCAGCAGGGUUGAUUAGGCUGAUCUGAUGGCUAGGCAGGUGUCCCCUUCCUCCCUCACCACUCCAUGUGUGUCCCUCCCGAAGCUGUGUGCUCAGUCAAAGAGGACGACCUUCCCCGAAUGGAGGAGGACUGGUCUUCCGUCAAGGGCAUUGGAGUAGUUGUGCUCUCCUGCUAGAACCUCCAAACAAGCUCUCGCUGUGUAAAAUCAUUCAUUAGCACUUUCAAAGCAUACCCCCGCGUUUGCUGGUGCAAGACAUGAGAAGUCCCAGUGGGGUCACAUGACGGCCAGGUUGGGCUUGAUGCU
RNAcentral lists this small nuclear RNA (347 nucleotides) under Jaculus jaculus (lesser Egyptian jerboa). RNAcentral's name for it is "7SK RNA (ENSJJAG00000002970.1)". The stretch from base 1 to 300 matches the Rfam family "7SK RNA". Rfam says of the family: 7SK was discovered as an abundant small nuclear RNA in the mid-70s but a possible function has only recently been suggested. Two independent studies have found that 7SK RNA binds the CDK9/cyclin T complex (known as elongation factor P-TEFb). P-TEFb activates transcription by phosphorylating the C-terminal domain of RNA polymerase II. Lineage: Eukaryota; Metazoa; Chordata; Mammalia; Rodentia; Dipodidae. The record is from RNAcentral.